AACGAACGCUGGCGGCAGGCCUAACACAUGCAAGUCGAGCGCCCUCUUCGGAGGGAGCGGCGGACGGGUUAGUAACGCGUGGGAACGUGCCCUUUGCUACGGAACAACAGUUGGAAACGACUGCUAAUACCGUAUGUGCCCUACGGGGGAAAGAUUUAUCGGCAAAGGAUCGGCCCGCGUUGGAUUAGCUAGUUGGUGAGGUAACGGCUCACCAAGGCAGCGAUCCAUAGCUGGUUUGAGAGGAUGAUCAGCAACACUGGGACUGAGACACGGCCCAG
This 278-nucleotide ribosomal RNA is filed under the name uncultured bacterium. Its description in RNAcentral is "partial 16S ribosomal RNA". It matches the Rfam family "Bacterial small subunit ribosomal RNA", at positions 29 to 334 of the family's 1533-position model. The record is from RNAcentral.